AUGGAGACUGAGGCAGCGCAGGAGAGGAGGGACGUGUCACCACCAAGCUCGGAGCUAUCUAUAGGGAAGAUGAACCCACGAGCUCCUGGUUGGAAUAAGAGGUUAAGGAUUGGUGCUGCUGCACCAAGUCGACCGCCUUGCCCAAACCGUGUAAGUGCAUUUGAGAAGGCUGUUCGAAACUAUGCGGAGAAUCCAAGAGGCAAUGUGGUCACACCGACUAUCAACACGAUAUUUGACUCAGUUGGAGAGGCGUAUGACUUCUACAAUUUGUAUUCAUGGGAAAAGGGAUUUGGGAUCAGAUAUGGCAAGAGUCGGCUUAAUGUGGAGAGGAUUAAAUGCAUGCAAGAAAUAGUCUGUGGCUGCUCGGUGACCACCUUGUCUUUGCAGUCGGGGCAGGGGAUCAGCGGAAGCACUGCCUCCUGCUGCGAGGAAGAAGAAGAAGACGCCAUGGUCGCCGGUCCGCUCGGUCCAACAGGAAGACAAGAUGAUGAGGUUGGGGGACGGCUCAAAUGA
RNAcentral lists this ribosomal RNA (513 nucleotides) under Triticum aestivum (bread wheat). RNAcentral describes it as "partial small subunit ribosomal RNA". Lineage: Eukaryota; Viridiplantae; Streptophyta; Magnoliopsida; Poales; Poaceae. The record is from RNAcentral.